ACACAUAGUGGAACACCCCGGAAAAUUUUACCCCUAUUUCAUAUACUUUUGGUAAAAAUUCGGUUCAGGGAAUAAGCACAUACGUCGUAUUGUAGAGUGACAAGUGACCUACUCUCUCCGGCCAUUUUGCCUUGUGACGUCACGACCGCCAAUCCCAAUAAGGGAGUUGGGCAGAUACCGUUGCCCGAUUGUGAUUGGCUCCGCCAUUUUCCUAUUAACUUCUGGUAGUUCCGGCAACACCGGCACAGCCGCACAGCUUGGCAAUCUUGGCAUAGCUAUCAUCGAUGAUCAACGCAAUAACGUGAUAAGUGCUGUAUAUUAUUCACAUACGAAGAAAACUGUUUAUAUUGAAGGUAAAUAUUGUGUAAUUGUAAUAGAUAAUUAAAGUGAAAGUGAUGGAAUAUAAAAUACCCCCCGUAUAUAAAAUACCUUGUGAUUAAUGUGAAAAAUAGAAAAUGCUGCAUUGUGUAGCUUUUGGAUACUACAAUUCGCACAAAAAAGGCGCAGUAAUGCAUAUUUUUCCACGAGAUUUGCAACGUAAAGAAAAAUGGAUAGAAAAUGCUUGUGGACCUUCAGGAUUCAAAUACUGUAGAAUUCCAAACGAAAAUUCAUAUUUAUGUGAGUUCUAUUUCACGGUUGACAUGUAUAAGAAGGAAUGUGUUGAUGGCUGGAAAAAAUUGAAAUUAUCUGCUGUUCCAACGGUUUUUGGAGAACUUGUCAUUCAACAAAAUAAAAAAAAAUGUUGCAGCGUUUAUACUACAUAAGCUACAGAAAUCGUAGUAGCUUCUGAAUUAACAGCUCAGGGGAUGAAGGAUAUGUUCCCAAUAUCGAAGCUGUUGCAGAAAUUGAGAUAUCUAAUCUAGUUCAGAGAGAGAAAGAAUUUCUCUCCGAUACUAAACUCACUGGUAUUCGAUUAGAUAUUACCAUUCCUUCAGGAAGUUCCUCAUUCUGGCGAAUCAGCAAUUUUGAUGGCUAUUAGGUAUUUACAGAAUGUUGCUUACUCACGGUAAGCUAUGUAUGGGCAAAGAAAUAUUGGCAACGAAAGUACUACCGUUUCUGUUGCCUCUCUGCAUAGAACAAAAUCUUAGCAUGACACAAUACGAGGCACUUUCCAUGCUAGUCGAUAUGAUAAAUCGAGUAACCAGCGAGCAUCGAGAGGCAUUACGACAAUUGGAUUCGGUGCGCCGUGAGACGCAACAACUCGAUCAGGCACUUUCUCAAGUGACGUCGCCCACUUUUAUGCAAAACAACAGUCUAAGCGACAUUAAUCUAUCGCCUCAAGUUCUAUCCCCAAACGCACAGUAAAUAUUGAAAAUGGAUUAACCAUCGAAGACAAGUACAGAUUAAUUCAACAGCAAGAAACGCAUCAAAGAUUGCAGUCUCAAUCUAUGUUGACUCCUAUAAAGCUGCGCCACAACCUGUAAAGUCACAGCCAAAGGAUUUAAUAACUGCGACUUUGUUAAAAAACAAUCUAGACGAAUUAAAUCUGUCUAUGUCAAGAUCGACCAUGUCACAACCGGAUUACUCGGCUACUAAAAAUGCAUAUAAAUAUAACUACAUUGGUCUAACGCAAUCGCAAUUUUUAACAUCUCCAACGCUAAAUUCGCAAACAACAUUGAAUAGGCCAAUGAAUUGGAAUUCCAAUGGAAUGAACGCGCCCAUGAACUGGAACUCGCCACAAUCUACCUUGAUGUGGAACUUUAUUAUUCCCCAGAAUAAUGUAAAUUUUGUACCACAACCAGAAGUUAAACCAAACUUAAACUUUC
Long non-coding RNA from Temnothorax curvispinosus, 1766 nucleotides. RefSeq lists it as uncharacterized. The transcript is spliced from 5 exons. Lineage: Eukaryota; Metazoa; Arthropoda; Insecta; Hymenoptera; Formicidae. The record is from RefSeq and is a predicted model, not a curated record.